ACAGCGAUAGCCUCAGUAACGGCGAGUGAAGCGGCUACAGCUCAAAUUUGAAAUCUGGCCUCCUUUGGGGGUCCGAGUUGUAAUUUGCAGAGGAUGCUUUGGCAUUGGCGGCGGUCUAAGUUCCUUGGAACAGGACAUCGCAGAGGGUGAGAAUCCCGUACGUGGGCGCCUGCCUUUGCCGUGUAAAGCUCCUUCGACGAGUCGAGUUGUUUGGGAAUGCAGCUCUAAAUGGGAGGUAAAUUUCUCCUAAAGCUAAAUACCGGCCAGAGACCGAUAGCGCACAAGUAGAGUGAUCGAAAGAUGAAAAGUACUUUGGAAAGAGAGUCAAAUAGCACGUGAAAUUGUUGAAAGGGAAGCGCUUGCAGCCAGACUUGCCCGCAGUUGCUCACCUAGGCUUUCGCCUGGGGCACUCUUCUGCGGGCAGGCCAGCAUCAGUUUGGGCGGUCGGAUAAAGGCCUCUGUCAUGUACCACCCCUCGGGGUGGCCUUAUAGGGGAGGCGUAAUGCGACCAGCCCGGACUGAGGUCCGCGCAUCUGCUAGGAUGCUGGCGUAAUGGCUGUAAGCGGCCCGUCUUGAAACACGGACCAAGGAGUCUAACAUCUAUGCGAGUGUUUGGGUGUCAAGCCCGGGCGCGCAAUGAAAGUGAACGGAGGUGGGAACCCCUCGGGGUGCACCAUCGACCGAUCCUGAAGUCUUCGGAUGGAUUUGAGUAAGAGCAUAGCUGUUGGGACCCGAAAGAUGGUGAACUAUGCUUGAAUAGGGUGAAGCCAGAGGAAACUCUGGUGGAGGCUCGCAGCGGUUCUGACGUGCAAAUCGAUCGUCAAAUUUGGGCAUAGGGGCGAAAGACU
RNAcentral lists this ribosomal RNA (848 nucleotides) under Pseudopithomyces angolensis. RNAcentral's name for it is "partial 28S ribosomal RNA". It matches the Rfam family "Eukaryotic large subunit ribosomal RNA", at positions 68 to 932 of the family's 3401-position model. The record is from RNAcentral. Lineage: Eukaryota; Fungi; Ascomycota; Dothideomycetes; Pleosporales; Didymosphaeriaceae.